This is a long non-coding RNA of Culex quinquefasciatus (southern house mosquito), 661 nucleotides long. RefSeq lists it as uncharacterized. Lineage: Eukaryota; Metazoa; Arthropoda; Insecta; Diptera; Culicidae. The transcript has 2 exons. The record is from RefSeq and is a predicted model, not a curated record.
UUGAGUUUUAAAUUUGACGCAAUAUUUGAUUGUUUAUAUGGUAAUUGAUGAACACCCAAGUAACCAUCUAGCACUAAAAGAAAUCAUAAAUGAGCUGCUAAACAGCAUUCACAAGCUAAUCAGUCACAAAACAGCUACGGUGAUUGCAAAUUAGCUGUAAAACAACUGCUCUAAUAAUAGCUGGAAUGGAGCUGAUUUGAUGCUGCUACUAGCAACACUGCAACCAAAUAUUUCAUCAAACUGGCAACACUACAUUGUGCCGUGUAAGAGCGAAAGAGAGAGAUCACCAGCAAGCAGAUUCAAAAAUAUUCUUUGCUCUCUCAUCCAUUAAACCAUAACAAAUCGAGCGGGGAGAAAAAUUCAGUCAGCUUAGAAGAUUUAGUUUACGCAGCUGUUGAAGCCGUUUUAUUAUGUUGUAACCUCCAGCUGACAUGAAAUUACGGAUACGGAGGAAAAAUGGCAAAUUUAUGCGGAGAUUUCAUUGCACGAAAGCAACAACCGGCUUCGAACGCCCAACAUGGGCAUUUCCCGAGGAACUUCCAACACACGGCUGAUCGGUGCGGUGAAUAAUAUGAAAUUAAACGGUUUAGUAUGUUAAGAGAGCCUGUGGAAUGAUUGCUUUCAAAUCAUAAUAAAUUCAUCCUGAAUCCGCAAAAAAAAA